CAGGGAGACAACAAAAUGUUUAAUAUUAUUAUUUUGUCACCUUAGGUCGAUCGGUAUCUCACAUUCUUAAUUUAUUAAGAAUUUCAAUUCCUAAGUUUUUCUAGGUCACACCCAUUACUUUUCCUGGGCCAUUAGCUCAGGUGGUUAGAGCGCACCCCUGAUAAGGGUGAGGUCCCUGGUUCAAGUCCAGGAUGGCCCAUAUCUCUAUGUUGGGGGUAUAGCUCAGUUGGUAGAGCGCCUGCUUUGCAAGCAGGAUGUCAGCGGUUCGAGUCCGCUUACCUCCACUGAUUACCACCUCUUCAUAAUCUAUAGAAGGGAAAUGUUUUGAGUUGUGAUCAAAUUCUGAACGAAUCUAGCUUCCUAAUGUAACCAUUAAGAUGCUGGACUCAUUGAAUUAAUUUCAUUGUUUUCAGAGAACCUUGACAACUGCAUAGAUUAUUUUUUUAAAGACAAUAAGCAUCUUUAAUGAUGCAGAUUUAUUAUUUGUGCUAAUGCAUUAAUAACAAUUCUAUUAAGCUGAUGCUUCAAUUUUUGAAGUUAUU
Molecule: transfer RNA, 542 nt
Filed under: uncultured Prochlorococcus sp.
Lineage: Bacteria; Bacillati; Cyanobacteriota; Cyanophyceae; Synechococcales; Prochlorococcaceae
Description: partial 16S-23S ribosomal RNA intergenic spacer
Rfam family: tRNA (bases 212-284)
Source: RNAcentral